AAUCGAAGCAGUGAACUUAAGCCCCAGUAAACGGCGGCCGUAACUAUAACGGUCCUAAGGUAGCGAAAUUCCUUGUCGGGUAAGUUCCGACCCGCACGAAAGGCGUAACGAUUUGGGCACUGUCGCAACAACAGACUCGGUGAAAUUGUAAUUCCGGUGAAGAUGCCGGAUACCUGCGACAGGACGGAAAGACCCCAUGGAGCUUUACUGUAGCUUGACAUUGGGUCUUGGUACUACAUGUACAGGAUAGGU
RNAcentral lists this ribosomal RNA (252 nucleotides) under Clostridioides difficile. RNAcentral's name for it is "partial 23S ribosomal RNA". It matches the Rfam family "Bacterial large subunit ribosomal RNA", at positions 1897 to 2148 of the family's 2925-position model. The record is from RNAcentral. Lineage: Bacteria; Bacillati; Bacillota; Clostridia; Peptostreptococcales; Peptostreptococcaceae.